UGAAAAGGUUACAGGCAGCCUAUAGG
This 26-nucleotide non-coding RNA is filed under the name Homo sapiens (human). Lineage: Eukaryota; Metazoa; Chordata; Mammalia; Primates; Hominidae. The record is from RNAcentral.